Molecule: unclassified non-coding RNA, 310 nt
Filed under: Melitaea cinxia (Glanville fritillary)
Lineage: Eukaryota; Metazoa; Arthropoda; Insecta; Lepidoptera; Nymphalidae
Description: misc RNA ENSMCXG00005000355.1
Source: RNAcentral
UUAUCAUUAUAAAUUCAAGAUGGCCGCCGCUACAAAAUGGCGGAUAAUUUAUGUUUUAUCAAUCCCAUCAACAUGGGUAUCAAAUGAAAGGUCUCAACAAGUAGAAUACAAUUUACUAUGCAAAAUUGAAAUCUAAGCUGACCGCCGCUACCAAAUGUCUGAUAACAAUUUUUUAUCAAUCCCACCAAUAUGGGUAUCAAAUAAAAGGGCUUGACAAGAAGAAUACAGUGCACUAUACAACCUCAAUAUUUAAGAUGGGCCUUGCAAUAAUGAAGCACUAAAUAAAUUAAACAGAAUGCGAAAUAAAAAC